This is a long non-coding RNA of Triticum dicoccoides, 401 nucleotides long. RefSeq lists it as uncharacterized. The transcript is spliced from 2 exons. Lineage: Eukaryota; Viridiplantae; Streptophyta; Magnoliopsida; Poales; Poaceae. The record is from RefSeq and is a predicted model, not a curated record.
AACAAUCGAAGCCCUCAAUCGACAUCGACUUUCAUCCACAACUACAAUGAGGAUUAGGCAAGUGUUGCGCACGGCUGUUACCCUUAUGCUGGUGAUAUCCUCAUCCGGCAUGGCGACGCAACCAGUUCAGAGACGAACCACGAGACGAAUUCGGCCAUCAGGGACGGGUCAUGCGGUGCUAACCAGUGCACGGCGUACUGCCAAAGCAAGUAGCAAGGGGCAGGCACGUGUUUUCCGAAGGGAUGGAAGUGCUCGCUCUUCAAGGAUAUUCAUCCCCCGAGGAACUAGAUAUAGCUAGUUGCAUCGCAUACCAUGUAUAAAGUUUUUUCGUGCAAGAAAUUCCAACUAAAUAAAUAAGGAAAAAAUGUUUCCUUUUGGAAAAUCAAAUUAAUUUGUUGCUC